GGGACGGGGAGAUUAUUGGGCCUAAGCAUCCGUAGCCGGUUCUACAGUCCUCCGUUAAAUCCAACUGCUUAACAGAUGGGCCGCGGAGGAUACUAUAAAACUAGGAGGCGGGAGAGGCAAGCGGUACUCAGUGGGUAGGGGUAAAAUCCGUUGAUCCAUUGAAGACCACCAGUGGCGAAGGCGGCUUGCCAGAACGCGCUCGACGGUGAGGGAUGAAAGCUGGGGGAGCAAACCGGAUUAGAUACCCGGGUAGUCCCAGCUGUAAACGAUGCAGACUCGGUGAUGGACUAGCUUAAUGCUAGUCCAGUGCCGCAGGGAAGCCGUUAAGUCUGCCGCCUGGGGAGUACGGUCGCAAGACUGAAACUUAAAGGAAUUGGCGGGGGGAGCACAAG
This 392-nucleotide ribosomal RNA is filed under the name uncultured archaeon. Its description in RNAcentral is "bacterial SSU rRNA". It matches the Rfam family "Archaeal small subunit ribosomal RNA", at positions 489 to 882 of the family's 1478-position model. The record is from RNAcentral.